This 282-nucleotide ribosomal RNA is filed under the name uncultured bacterium. RNAcentral describes it as "partial 16S ribosomal RNA". It matches the Rfam family "Bacterial small subunit ribosomal RNA", at positions 226 to 507 of the family's 1533-position model. The record is from RNAcentral.
UGAGCAUGCGUCCCAUUAGUUAGUUGGUAAGGUAACGGCUUACCAAGACAAUUGAUGGGUAGGGUCCUGAGAGGAGAUCCCCCANACUGGUACUGAGACACGGACCAGACUCCUACGGGAGCAGCAGUGAGGAAUAUUGGUCAAUGGGCGCAAGCCUGAACCAGCCAUGCCGCGUGCAGGAAGACGGUCCUAUGGAUUGUAAACUGCUUUUACACAGGAAGAAACCCUCCCACGUGUGGGAGCUUGACGGUACUGUAGGAAUAAGGAUCGGCUAACUCCGUG